RNAcentral lists this ribosomal RNA (639 nucleotides) under uncultured Actinomycetes bacterium. Its description in RNAcentral is "bacterial SSU rRNA". It matches the Rfam family "Bacterial small subunit ribosomal RNA", at positions 232 to 885 of the family's 1533-position model. The record is from RNAcentral. Lineage: Bacteria; Bacillati; Actinomycetota; Actinomycetes.
CGCGGCCUAUCAGCUUGUUGGUGAGGUAACGGCUCACCAAGGCAUCGACGGGUAGCUGGUCUGAGAGGAUGAUCAGCCACACUGGGACUGAGACACGGCCCAGACUCCUACGGGAGGCAGCAGUAGGGAAUCUUGCGCAAUGGGCGAAAGCCUGACGCAGCAACGCCGCGUGGGGGAUGAAUGCCUUCGGGUUGUAAACCCCUUUCAGCAGGGACGAAAUUGACGGUACCUGCAGAAGAAGGUCCGGCCAACUACGUGCCAGCAGCCGCGGUAAUACGUAGGGACCAAGCGUUGUCCGGAAUUACUGGGCGUAAAGAGCUCGUAGGCGGUUCAGUAAGUCGGGUGUGAAAACUCAAGGCUCAACCUUGAGACGCCACUCGAUACUGCUGUGACUUGAGUCCGGUAGAGGAGUGUGGAAUUCCUGGUGUAGCGGUGAAAUGCGCAGAUAUCAGGAGGAACACCAGCGGCGAAGGCGGCACUCUGGGCCGGUACUGACGCUGAGGAGCGAAAGCAUGGGGAGCAAACAGGAUUAGAUACCCUGGUAGUCCAUGCCGUAAACGUUGGGCACUAGGUAUGGGACCAUAUCAACGGGUUCCGUGCCGUAGCUAACGCAUUAAGUGCCCCGCCUGGGGAGUACGG